This 216-nucleotide ribosomal RNA is filed under the name Campeiostachys nutans. RNAcentral's name for it is "Elymus nutans partial small subunit ribosomal RNA". The stretch from base 40 to 216 matches the Rfam family "Eukaryotic small subunit ribosomal RNA", at positions 686 to 864 of the family's 1831-position model. The record is from RNAcentral. Lineage: Eukaryota; Viridiplantae; Streptophyta; Magnoliopsida; Poales; Poaceae.
GGGUUAGUAGGUUGGUCAUGCCUCCGGUAUGUACUGGUCUCACUGAUUCCUCCUUCCUGAUGAGCCGUAAUGCCAUUAAUUUGGUGUUGCGGGGAAUUUGGACUGUUACUUUGAAAAAAUUAGAGUGUUUAAAGCAGGCCUAUGCCCGAAUACACUAGCAUGGAAUAAUGAAAUAGGACGUUUGAUUCUAUUUUGUUGGUUUCUAGGAUCGACGUA